UACGGAGGGUGCAAGCGUUGUUCGGAAUUACUGGGCGUAAAGCGCACGUAGGCGGAUACUUAAGUUAGGGGUGAAAUCCCAGGGCUCAACCCUGGAACUGCCUUUAAUACUGGGUAUCUUGAGUUCGAGAGAGGUGAGUGGAAUUCCGAGUGUAGAGGUGAAAUUCGUAGAUAUUCGGAGGAACACCAGUGGCGAAGGCGGCUCACUGGCUCGAUACUGACGCUGAGGCGCGAAAGCGUGGGGAGCAAACAGG
Molecule: ribosomal RNA, 253 nt
Filed under: uncultured bacterium
Lineage: Bacteria
Description: partial 16S ribosomal RNA
Rfam family: Bacterial small subunit ribosomal RNA
Source: RNAcentral